ACCAAAACCGGCGCACGGGUGCGUAACGCGUAUACAAUCUGCCUUUCACAUAGGGAUAGCCCGAAGAAAUUUGGAUUAAUACCUAAUGGUAUAUAGGAGCGGCAUCGUUUUUAUAUUAAAGCUACGGUGGUGAAAGAUGAGUAUGCGUUCUAUUAGCUAGUUGGAGAGGUAACGGCUCCCCAAGGCGACGAUAGAUAGGGGUUCUGAGAGGGAUGUCCCCCACACUGGUACUGAGAUACGGACCAGACUCC
Molecule: ribosomal RNA, 251 nt
Filed under: uncultured Capnocytophaga sp.
Lineage: Bacteria; Pseudomonadati; Bacteroidota; Flavobacteriia; Flavobacteriales; Flavobacteriaceae
Description: partial 16S ribosomal RNA
Rfam family: Bacterial small subunit ribosomal RNA
Source: RNAcentral